Molecule: non-coding RNA, 12778 nt
Organism: Xyrichtys novacula (pearly razorfish)
Lineage: Eukaryota; Metazoa; Chordata; Actinopteri; Labriformes; Labridae
Source: the annotation of a GenBank genome assembly
GUGAGAGGAAGCAGGAAACAGAUGAGCAACUGGUCGGUUUUUGUCCAUUUUUGCUGGUUCUUUACUAAUACAAACGGACAAAUCUUAUGUUACAAACUUUAUUGAACUCAUAGGAGCCCGCUACUCGUCUGUUGUGAUUUGAGGAGGGCUGUAUAUGUGAAGAUUUAACUGUGAACUGGUGAGCAGAAUCAUUUGUCUUGAUAGCUUAGCCACCUCCAUUCAGAUGAAUGGAGGUGCUUAACUCUAAAAUGUAACAGUGAUUGCUAAUAUGUAACAUUGAUUCCUGAAUCGAAUGUAUUGAAUGAAAUGAGUAUUUAAUAUAAAUGCUGUAAAUUUCAUUUAUUUGGACUAAUGGCAAGUGCUAUGUACUUAUUGUGGAUUAUGAUGAUUAUGUUUGAGAUUGAAUUGAACUGCAGUACUUUGAUUGAAAAGACAUGUGUAUACGCUGAAAUUCGAGCACUGUAUAUUAAUUGUGACAUUGUGAUUUACUUGAAUUCUGGCUUUACAGGCCAGGUUCUUUGAUUUUAGAUGGCGAGCUAAGAGGAAGUGACCUAUAGACCCAGGAAGCCCACAUCUCUCCUGCCAGGCUGGUAGGGGCUCCUUGUAGCCACAACACGCUCAUCCCACUGUACAGCCCAUCAAUCCGGACACACACACGCACACACACACUCCACCCAAGAUUUUCCCUUUUCCUCCAAUCCUCUGGACUUACACCUUUUUACCCAGACGUGGGUUUUGGUGUUGCAAGGAACUGUUGGUGGCCAAGUGCCCAUUACUUAUUUGGUCAUUGCGUUGUUUGACUAACUGAUUGAACUGAUUUACAUUUUGCAGGUGUUUGUUUCUCCCGUCUGUGCUCUGCUAAAUUAAAGGUCGUGCGCUACAUCUUUGAUUAAUCGUCCAAACAUCGUGUGUCGAUCAUUUUAGAUCAAAGGCUGAUGUCUUAGCGACAUUGUGGCGAUUAGCAAACACUCUCCUUGCGACAUCUUGGUGAUGAAACUACAUGUAUUGGGUUGACAUCGGCACAAUGUACGUGUGCUAUCUGGGAAAGGUUGACAAUAGGAUUGAAAAAGAAACUGGUAAUUUUUAUUACUAUUUACGAACAGUAAGUUAAAACUAUUUUUUAACAAUGAUACAAACAAUCGAACUGCCUGCAUCAAAUCCCUGUUGCCUUAUUCCUUUUAACUCCCCAAACAUCUGAAACAACUUUUAUAUGCACACACAUUUUAGUUGACAGCUCCUGAUACAGUUACAUGCAGACCCCAGGACUAUAAUCAUUGACAGCAUGCCAAAUUUUAUCAUACACACAGUUGGUGCUCUUUUACAAAUGUAUUAGACUGAGAAAUGAAGUUGCUAGAAGUUUAAAUCCAAUUCAACUGUAUCACAAAGACAAGUCUGUGUUCAGCAGUGAGGGUCCAGACACACUGGAGAGAGACAGCUUUAUGAGUCUGAAAAAUUCAUAUUACAAACAGUCACCCUGCUGCGCAGAGCAUUUUGGGUCUCCUGGCAUCCCAGAUGUGCUUUUUAUCAUCUCUCAUUAUGUCAAUACCAUGCCUUCAAAGCAAACAUUGAUGUAGUAUAGUAAAUAAGCUUUAUAAAGUGUUGGUUUUAUUAAAAAGACUUUAAAUAAAAGACAGCAAGUUAUUUGGCCAGAGUGAAUAGGCAUCUCUGAGCAUUAGCAGCUGCCCUGAGGUGGGUCCACACUGUCAGAAGUUCCCCCUGCUGGCCUUGUGUUCAGCAAAAUCUGUGAUAAUACUGUUUAAGUCCAAGUUUCUUCCCCUGCUGCCAGACCUGCCCCAUGCUGGUUUUAAAUAGGACUGAAGCUGUUUAAGCUGGAUGCUCAUCCUGUUGUUGUCUCCCCCACACACACUUCUGGGCGCCGCUUCUGUUUCAACUUGCAAAAAAACAAAAAAACAAAAACAUGCAGAAAUCCGGUUGUCCAUUUUAAUGUCUCUCAAUAUGAGUGUAGCAGAAAACUCGAGUUAACACAAGUUUUUACAUGACAGGAAGUUAUAAAGCACUUCACAGCAGGCUUUUCAUUUAUAAUUUUAUGUUUUGUGGUUAAAACAAGCAAAUGAAGCAAGAUUGGUAUAACUGAUUCUGGAAGAAGAUUGUAGUUUGAUAACACUGAAAAUACUCACAAAUGAAACAUCUCUGAAGAUUGAUUCAGCACCAUGCUGGUGGGAGAGUGGUAUAAAAACAUCCUCCAGACUUUCAUGGAGGCCCUCUAUAACUCACCUGCCUUGCACAGAUCUGUGUGACGAUGGAUAUACAGCCUCCUACCCAACCUUGCCAAGAAUGAGGGCAGGUGUCAGAGAUCUCAUCAUGGGCUAUCUCAAAGGCUUGGGCCCUGAUGCACUGCACCUGCUGCACUGCUUAGAGUUACACCAUUGGGUUUAGAUCAUGUUGCUGAUCUCACAAAGCACACUUUUGCAUCGAAAAGAAAGGAUUAUGCGCCUGUCUCUAAUGCCGGGGGAACAGCACAAACUCAGUCCUUCUUGUGUGAGUAGAAAAAUACAGCUGUUUCAUAUUUUGCUCAAAAUUUCAAAUUUCCUUAUUGUUACUGUUGAAAUGUGUACGAUAAGUAAACUGGAUCCCCCAUUAUAUUUAUUUUUGUAUUUUAACAUUUUCAAGUUUUUAAAGUAAGUUUGUGUCCCUCCAGUCUGUUUUCAUAUGUAUUAAAGGAUUAUUCCGGUGUAAAUUUAAGUUAUGGUCAAACACACUGUAACACCGAGUUAGACAUCCCCCUGAGAGAUGAAUGUUGCCGUCUGCUUGCUUCUCUAGUUAUACCAACAACCGCAUGCUUGUUUGUGGGGGAGCCCUGAUGAGACGAUCACUGGGUGCAGCGGAGUUUCGCAGCUCAAGGAAGAACAUUUAUGAUUAUUACUUCAUUGUAAUGCAAUCAGACCGAGAUGCUCAGGCAGAAAAACUACCGCAUCUGCAGUGCAAAAUGAUUAUUAUGAUGAUUAUUACUCAAUGGAAAUGAUCCACUGCACUCCGUGAUUGACUCGUCAGGGCUACCCCCACAAACAAGCGGCUGCUGGAGGAGAGUAGGUGAGUUGUAUUUAGUCUCUUUGCUAAAGAAAUCAGGCAAAGCUACAAAGAUGUUUGAUGGAUGUUUGAUGGCUGGGACCCUAUAUGUACUGUUGAUGAAGUUAGGUGCUGUUCUGAGCAUUAUUUGUGGCUAUGGAGUGGCUUUUUGUUUGAGGUUUGCACAUGGAGACGUAGACUGCUGUGUAUUGCUAUCGUGCGGUCGUUACUAAAGUUGGUAUAACUAGAGAAGCAUGCAGGCGGCAACAUUCAUCACUCAAAAGGGUGUCUAGUUCGGUGACCCUGACUUGAUUUUGCGCCGGAAUAUCCCUUCAAGUGUCACAGACUGCAUUGUGUUUUUGUAUACUAUUAAUAUAUUUGUGUCUGUGUGUGGGCACAUGUGGUUUCUUGGAGGUAAUGUCAAAAGCAAGACUGCAGGAAUCUGAUCCAGCUCUGUUUUGGGCUCCGGCUGAGAUCAGAUAGACUGUGCUGCCCUUCAAGCCAGAGAGCAGAACUGUGAUGUUGAUAAUCCUCACCCUCCCUGCUUCACUCUGCAGAGAUCCUUUCUCCCAAAAGAGUACCUCUCCUCGAAACACAGGGGUUUCCAUAAACCUCCAUCCCUCUUAUCGCUGUGGUGGCCACAGAGUUGUAUCAAGCAUGUUUAUUUCGGAGUAAGCCUGCAAAUAGCAGCAGGAGGAAAGGAAAAGCCCAUCAAGUUGACUUUCAAUGUCAUUUCACUUGGGGGAAUCUGUUUUCGCUUAAUUAAGUUUUAAGACAUUUAUCUACAUUUACUGCUUCAAUGUGCGAAGGAGUCAUUUUAUGUGACAUAACUCGACAGAAGAAGGUAAAAGAGUUUUAUAUUAUCAGCUCAGUUACUGCAACUCACUCAGCCCACGUAUCUAAAGCACCAGGGAUACUAUAUCUAACAAUCAGCAGCACCAAAUGCAAUCAUGGAAAGGAGAGGUGCUUGGAAUAGGAGCUUGUCAAAAUCUGUAUUUAUUGGCAGAUCAUUUAUGACCAAAACAUCAGACAUAACAAUCAGACAGGAAAAUGUCAGACAGAUGGUGCGAGAGGGGGUACUUACUUAACUGUUGGCCUAUGGGUUUUCAGGGUUCUUGCUUGGGAAAGACAGAUUAGCAACAGGGCCUGGAGCUGUUGAUAACAGAUGCAUCUGAGGUGAGUUUAUUUCCUUCAGUGGUUUAAUUAUAGUAUUUUUUUUUUACCGGUGCAUGGAAAAAACCUAGAGAAAGGGAAGUUUACAGACUGGUUUCUGCCAAGAAUCUAAACACAAACUCAGAGGAUGAUAAAGAGGGAGGUAUAAGGAGAAUACCUCUAGUAAGACUGUCAAGUCUUAUAGAGACAAAAGCCAAGUGCAUCAGUGCAAGUACAGCCAGUGUAUUUACAACGACAAUGCAUCAGAAAGAUUAAAUAUUCUUUUUCUAAAUAUUGUUACUGACCAUAGUCCUGUUAACAAACUGUGACGAGCUGGUGAGCUGAAAAGGACUCAGAGUCAGACAUCCGGAUAUAACAAGCAGCUUCUGUGUUGUCUGCAGCAGGAGCACAUGAUGGAUCAAUGGUCAGCCAGGGGACUCCUCCUGUAACAGCAUGUGUGCUUACAGUGUCAAACUUCUCAGCUGACGUUAACUUCUAUAACACAGAAAAUUUGCCCACAACAGGUUGUUGCACAUUGAUAGGUUGUAAAUACAACAGCGCUUUUUGCUGCUCUGCGUUUCUCCAUUACAUCUUAGUUUGAUUGACAACAUUUUAGGCCACUUUGAAAACCGGCUGUGUUAUAACUCGAAAACUCUUUUGGUCUUCUUGGAUCCCAUUAUAUAUAUAUUUAUCACAUCCCUCACAGCUAUUAAACUAAAUAACCAUAAAAUACAGAGUUCUGCUUGAGCGAUACUUAGAACCUUACCAAGUGAAAAAGUCUAUAAUCAUUCAUUGAUUUGCUGCUAAACUCAAAUUAGACGGUGAGGUGAGACUGUCUGCCUGCAGGAGCUGACCUGUACAGUAUGCAUGCACAGCCAUCCAUAUUUAAUCUUGAUGAUAAAACAAAGUUUGAGAGACACCUAAAACCAAAAUGAGAUAAACCACAGUAUCUGUUUUUAAACUCCAGUUAAAUAAAUAUCUUCAUGAAGGACAAUGGAUAAGCCGUAUAAUUAUGAUUGGUUUUAUAAUUCUGAACAUACCUACAAUACAGAGAUGUUGGUAAGGAACUGAUAUCUUUCCAUCACUCUUUGCCUGAAUCUCCCUCCACGCAAUUGCAGCAAACUGGCUGACCCACAUUAGCCUGGUUCUCUCAGGGUUUCUGUCUGUUAAAAGGAAGAUUUCUCUGACAGUUUUACCUGCCUAACAAUCAAGAGAUUCAGAUCCACUGCUGUUUUUGUCAAAUGUCUUGAGACAUACAUAAGAAGGAAAUGGAUUACCAGCAAGAUGUAGUAUUUUGCUACAAUUCAUGGUAAAAAUAUGCAAAUAUACCUCUUAAGAAAAAGAAACGGUAAACAGCUGCCAAUCUUUUCACCAGUAGUUCCCUGUUAAGGUUUUCUAAAUAACGCCUUUUUUAUGCAUUCAUAAAAACAGUGACAAACUAUUAACUUCAGCAACAGUAAUAUACUAUUGAUGUUACAGCAACUCCCUGGCAACCCUACAGCCAGUUGCUUACUAUUUUUUAACAGGUGGAAUUUCUGAGAGUGUAGGUUUAGGUUGUUGAAUAACAGCUUUUUGCUGCAUUUAUAAAAAUCAGUAACAAACUAAAAACAGCAACAGCAAUAUACCAUUAAUUUUACAGCAACCCUACAGUCAGUUGUUUACUGUUUUUUAACAGGUGGAAUUUCUAAGAGUGUUGUUAUGAGCGGGCGAUAUAGAAAUGUAAAUACUUGAGAAAUAUCUGCUAACAUUUAAUAAAUAUUCUGAACAUUGGUUUUAGCUUUUCUCCUUUUUUUUCUUUUUUUACAAUGUGUGUGUACUUAACACUGCCAUAACUCCAAAGCUCCUGAUCAGAGGUCAGGUGACCUGGACAUACCCCACCAUGUGAAAUAUCUGGGGGUGAAAAGAAACUGUUAUUAUUCUCUCGGUUUCCACAGAGAAAGCCCGGGAGAGCGCUUGUUGCAGAGGAUAGAGACGUAUUAUGUUUGCACCUUUUUUAUGUAUUUCUGUAGACUCCCUGCUCUUAGUCACUCCUGCUGAGGUCAUUUAGAGACCGGGAUUACAGCCAACACCCAUAAAAAGUGUGCAGCUCCAACAUACAGUAUUUAGUCAUUUUUUUCUCAACAUAUGUCAAGCUGCCAUGAGCUGUUAAACUGAAAUGAAUUAAAGUGCAUUGUACUGUCAGUCAUGUAAGGAUUAGUGUCUAUUCUUUGUUUGAUACCUCCUUGUAACAUCCUUCUUUUAGCUUUUGCUUUCUGACCUCAUAUGCUGUAAACUCCGACAUGCUGGCUCCAGGAGAGAUGGGUCUCUGGAAUACCUUAGCCUUGGAAACUGAUGCAGUAGACCUGUACUGUAGAUGGGCUCCUCAGAGGGCAUGAAUCAUUAAUGUCUAUCAGUAGGAGGGGAAAUAGCCCUUCUAUCAUCAACAUGGUCAGCUUUGUUUCCCUGGUAUCAUGCUCCUUUUCUGUUGCAGAAAAUGUUAAAUGACAUAGCUGCAUCACCUCUCACUCCAUCAUGGUUGUAGAGUCCAACUUUCACCUCAAACUUGGAUGCACAUGAAGUGCUGUCGGCUCUGUAAACAUAUCUCAGGUGAUGUCAACACUGGCUUGAUUCAGGCACUGCUGCCAAGUGGGCGGACAGCCACAGCAUACCCAUAGUCCUCUCCACUCUGGUCUUGCUCUUGAAUAGGCUGAAACAGAGGAGGAUUGCUAUGCUUUUAACUGUGAGCAGUAGUUUUUAUUUCAUGACUCAAUAAGGAAGUAAAAAAUAAGCGGGUAAGGACAACCUUACUAUCGGAAAUAAAGUACCACGAUGGAAAUCUGUUCAUCUCUUGUUUUGGUGUGUUUUUAAACACAGGUGCACAUUUGGGUCAAGAAUAAUGUUUUCAGUGAGGUGAAUAUGUAACCUUUAAGGGUUUUUCUGAAUACCAUUUUCAUGUAACAGUGAGGGACUUAAGAUUUUAUUGGAUGGCAUUACCUCCUGAUUAUGUUGCUGUUAGCUGAGCACCUUAUGUCACCUCAAUUGUGAGGCACAACGGGGGAUCUGUUCCCUUGUGAUCCCAGCAGCAGGAAGGAAUUACUCCGUUAACCAGCUCAAAAUAGAGGCUUUCAUGUCUCUGCCCAAUGGCAUAUGAGAAUAGGACUCAUUUUCUGUUAAUGCAUCUAUUAAUUAAUCAUUGCGCAAUUUUCAGAGUGCUGAAACUCAGAAAAAAGUGUCUGAAGGAGUACUUCUGUGCCUUCUUCUCUUGUGUGUAAGCAGUGUAUUGACGUGAAAAUGAACAACACAGGGAGUCUUGAAGAAAACCGUUUGAAUUACAUCUGAUUUACUUGUUAAGAGGAAAGAGAAGUAACAAAUUGAAAUAAAGCCUGCUGCUUUGGUUCAGAUCUGCUCUGAGGCCUUGCUGGGUUCUCCAGUGCCAAUACAUUGAUUGCCCCUCGCCUGAAUUCAUAAUCCACCCAGGGGUUCAAAUUUUGCACUGUUGCUUGGAUCAUCUGUCCAGACCCAGUAUGGGGAGCUAAGAUUUACGAACAUGAAAUUUAAAAAUGUUUUGGUUUUUUUUUUCAUAUCGGGGUUUCAUCCACACUGAAACAGCGUUUUGGAUGACUGUAAACGGUACUCUUUGAAAAUGGAUCAGAGAGUGCAUAAAUCCGUAAACGACUACCAUUUCAUCUCCGUGUGGAUGCCUACCUGCAUCUCUCUUGAAACAAUUAUCUGACACACAGCGUAACUCUUUUAUGGUGCCUGCACAUGUCCCACCCAAACAGCCUUUAUACGCAUGCUCUGUGCUUUUCUUCUGUUUUUGAUGUAUUUCCUUGACAGCGUUACAGUGCUACUUACUAGCUUGGCAUAUGCACUAUGUCGUUUUCAGUGGUUUCAUUUGAGAGAUGAUAGAAAAACUUUAAAUUAAAGUGAAGUUUGAUGAAGUUGUCACUGGAUAAAAAAUCGAAAUAAAAAAUCGAGUUUUUCACAACAAAAUCUGUAUUUUAUUGUUGGCCAAAAUUGUGCAGCCCUAUGAUGUCGGUACUGUGGCCCACAUUCAGGUACAAGGACAGACAGCUGUAUCUUCAAAUCACCUUAGACAAGCGUGCUCAGGUCCCACCACAGCUGAAAAGUAAGGCAUGAUUAAUAAAUGAUACUAAAAUAUGAUUGACAUAGUUUCCAUAAGGAUUUCUAGUCAAAUCAAUACUUUGAACAGUCCAUUUUUCCUGAACUUGCAGACCUUUGUUUCAGUGAACUUAUGAGAACAAUGUUGUUGCCAAUUCAAUGACAUUAAGACUUUACAGGAGUCAAAACAAUGAUUUCAAAAUUUCAAAAUAAUGGAGAAAAUAGCUGUCAGAUUAAACUUAAACUCUUAUCCAGACAGGGUAAUAAUAAUUGCCUUGAAUCAUAGAGAGUAAAUAGAGAAAAAUGCUCUCCUUCUCGAGCCUUGUCAUUUAAAUAACAUUUUCAAGAGAAAGAAAAAAAUAUUUCAGACAAUAAAAGCACUUACUAAUCACAAGGGGCUCAUUUUCUUUUAUCUCAAGCUGCAACAUUUGAUCAAACAGUUUGAAACUUGGAUUAGUGACAUGGAAAUUCCUGCUAAAUCUACAAAUAUGCCGAGAGCAGCACUGAGCUCUCAGCAGGAACACCUGCUGAAAAGAGGGGGAUCAGUGGGUAUUAUAAAUGCUCACUUUCAGAUUAUCUACACAGAAACAUAUGUACAGUCACUCCACAGAAGCCCUACCAGAUUUAAAAGGAAUCAGACCAAUGCCAUGACUGGCUGAGCAUGUAAUAGUUUAUCAUCACGUCCCUGUAAAUCAUACUGCAUGGCCUUUUUGGAGCAUGCUUUAGUGCACCAUGGCUUAUUAAAUGAAAUCCUUAAAUAUCCCAGUAUUUUACAGUUGUCAUGAACCUUCCUCUGGAUAACUUUUGAAUUUGAAUUCUAAUUCAUAGACCUUUCAUCAACACAUUUUAAUCACAAUCAUCCAAUUCAAGAUGUUCACCCCUGUUAAAUGUUGUCACUAGAUGGCGCUCUUGCUCACUUAUUUUACUGUUCUGGCAAAGGUUGCACUGUGUGUGCGGAUGUGACAUCAUUACCCUGUAUUUAUCCCUUGUUAUGUUACCAGAGGAGCAGGGGACACCUGCGGUUGUGUUUAAUGCCAGAGUGUUGAUAAUGAAACCUCCUGUACUGGCCUCAAUAAAUAAAUGGUGAAGAUCGAGUUAGGUUAGAGAGUAAUGAUCAGAAUAAGUGUUUACAUGUACGUGUUCUGGAAUAACGAUAGGUAUAAAGGUCCUUACAUAGCAGGAGCGUUUUUUUCGUGCAAUUAUUUCGGACAUCAAAAUUUUUUUUCGAACCCGUAUCCUGUCAAUUCAAGCAUUUACAUCAGUGAUGUUUUCCCGUCCUGCGAUAUUGCGGCAUUUAUUUUUUCGCAUCCCGGUCAAUUUCUCUUAAGUUUCGCAUACUGUGUGUCCACUUCUGACCAAUCAGAUUGUGUGUCGUUGCGACGUCAGAUUCACUGGUAUAUCCAACAUGGCCGACCGGCUGAUAGUUUAUGAUCGCUUACACAUACAAAGAUAACGACCUGAAGGACAACUUGUGGAGAAUCAUAGCAUCGGAUUUCUGAUAUGACGAUAGUUUGUGUGCUUUAACAGUUUGCUAAACAUCUUUGUUUUAACUUUCAUCUGUGCUAAGUAACUUUAGCUCGAAAGCUAACCUGUUCAGAUACAACAUACCAUAUAUAUUUUCACUGUAUCAAACUGUGUUGUUGCUGUCACAGCAACAUCAGGUCUCGGUUGUUACCUUACGUUUAUGGAUUAUAGUUUAAUGUGCUUAUCUGGUACUGGCCCUGACUCAGUACAUGCUAUCAUGACAGACAGCCAUCUCAACACUAGUGUCUAAUCAGAACUGAAAAACCAUCAGUCUGGUGUUGUCAGUCUUCUUGCUUCCACCCGAAAAGUCGCAAAAUCGCAUCGUGCUUAAUAUGUAUAGUCAGGCGCGUCAAAAUUUGUCUCCGAAUAUUUCGUGAUUUCACGUCAUAUAUUUGCGUCAUCCCCAGGGUGUAAGGACCUUAAAUCACCCCUCUUGAUAGUAAUACAAUUUCUUUCCAAUUGAGCUGAAUUGGAUCAGAAUGUUCUGAACCAACAUGUUUACAUUAUGCCUUUUUAUUCCGAUUGGGCCUUUUGCUGCAUUCGAGUUACCUCGGAAGUCUGAAGUCCAAGCUGAAAAUGAUGUCACACCCAAGUUACCAGAAUUUCAGUUGCCAAGUCAGAAAAAAGCAAAAUCGGAGGCGGAAACAAGAUGGCUACAUCUACGAAAGCUAUUACCUUGUCCGAAUAUAAGGCAAGCGCUAAAAUAACUUUCGCGGAUAUGGCCAUCUUAUUUCAGGCCUCUAAAUUUGAUUUUUUUUUCCGACUUGUUAACUGAAAUGCUGGCAACUUGUUUGUGACAACAUUUUCAGCUCCUAUGACUGACUUCUGAGGUAACUCGAAUGCAGCAUAAAUGCCCAUGUAAAUGCAGCUAAUGACAAAGACACUAACACUUUUGAUUUGAUAGGUGUGGUUUUUUGUGAUGUCCACGGGUCUGAUGUUAUAAAACACGUCAUCGUUUAAACCCAGGCUUCUUUGUCGUGGGAGAAAUGGAUUUAUUCCUCCCUUUAGUGAGCUCUCCUUUAAGCUGAGGGGGAAAAAAAUCAUCCCCGUAGAGCACAAGUUUCCUCUUUAACACAACACAUAUGAUUUAAAUGCACUUACAACAUGAUAACUGACACAAAGGCUUACAAGACAAUAUGUGACAUGAAGGGGAGAGAUAUUUAUCUCCACUUACUUUAAAACCCCUUUAACAAAGAAAUAGUUGUGUUUUUAUUUCAGAUGCCACCAGAGAAAGGGGGUUAAAGUCCAUAGAGAUUUCCACCAAGACACAAUCAAUGCUUAUGUAAUAGACUAGACAGAAUAAGCUCCCACUAUAUCAGUUUGGCUCAACAAAGAGAUGGCAUACAUUAAAAGGGCAUCUCACCAGCAUCUUCUACACUCACAGAGAAUUAACCAGACCAGUCCACAUUCAAGACUUAAACAUAUUGUAUUUGGCUUUUAGGAGCCAGACAGAAACAGAGCUUUAAAACAACCAAUCAGCUGUGUAUUAGGGGCUAUGUUGUACUAUUUAAUUAUGAUUUUCUCAUGCUCAAACACAAGGAUUGAGCUUGAAUCUCUACAGUAUUAUAAGAAGUCUUUCCACUGUGUGCAGCCCUGUAACUUAAUAAAAUUCAGACAUUUUAAAAAAGGCCAAUUAGCAGUGAAUAUUCAGACAGACUCUUCUCUGCCAGCGUAAUUGAAAGCAUCAAAUAACUUAGUAAUGAAUGAUCAAACACACCGUAAUCAUACUGUCAGCCAGUAGGAAAAGAUAAAGUCAGUGUCACAAUUAUUACUUAAAACUCCAAAUUCAAAAUGAUACCGCAGCUUUCCUUUAAUCAAAUUUUGGUGACAAACUCUUCGCCAUUAAAAAAAGGAUGCAUGUUCAAACUCUGAAUGAACAAUAACUCACAGUAGACAGGCCCAACAGAUGACACAUGUCUGAAACACCAAGCACUUAUAUAUUUCAUCAACAGUGUCAAGCUUGAACUUUCAGACCUCAGCUGUAUAACAGACAGCAAACUACACUCAGUGAAGAAAAUAUCCUACUGUCCUAAACCUGUCCCAAAUAACACUUUUUUAGCUGCCUGCGUCAGUUUGGAGAUGUGUAAGGUAGAGGCUGAAAAGCUCAUUAUUCGUUAUAAACUCAAUAUGAAAUUUCUUUCCAAUUUAUUUCAUAAUGAUUAUAAUGAAGGCUUUCAGAUUGUGUUUCAGUGGUCCAUCUAACACCUAUGAAGAUAACUAUUAUCUUGGCUGGAGCAGAACCCAUUCUCUGUAGGGCUGGCACACUGUUGACAGCUCAGUAGCUUAAAUGCAAAUAUUAAUGGGAAAAACAACAGGCCACUCAGGCAGGGUAAGGUGGAGAGACAAGAGGACAUCAGUACUGGAGAGAGGCAGUUUGAAUGGGAUAUUUACCUGCAGGCUUAUCGGUCUACAACAGGGAGAGAUAGUAUCAACAUGCUCUGAACCAUUCUGAAAACUAAUAACAGGAGGUGAGGAGUGGAGAGGCAUCUUGCUCUAAAGUUCUCAAGUUGCUCUUAUUAGGGAGAUAAAGCAGUCUCGUGGAUUUUAAAGAGUCCCUGAGAGGAAAAGAGGUUCACAUCAGUAAAUACACAGAUGCCACAGCAUGUGACAGAUGCCACAGCAUGUGAGUGACUCAAUAAUGGAUGAUCCUGACCCUUGGGUCUCCAGGUGGCUCUAGGUGAGUGGGGCCACUCCACUUCCUCUAGAAGACAUAGUUCGAAAGCUAGAAUCUGCUGCAGCUUGGAGAUGCAUAAGUACCCGUGAUACAGGUUACACAGCUGGUAAGGCAUCAUAAAAGGUCCCAUAUUAUUCAAAAUUCACUUUAGAAUGGUUUUCUAACAAUAAUAUACAUCCCAUCCCUCUAUCCUCUCCCUCUCCAGUUUGUUCCACCUUUCAGGAAAUGUCUGCUCAAAUGGGCGGAUUGAAACUAUCACCUUCCAUGACGUCAUGGAUGGCGAUAACUCCUCCCCUCCAG